RNAcentral lists this unclassified non-coding RNA (451 nucleotides) under Hevea brasiliensis (rubber tree). Lineage: Eukaryota; Viridiplantae; Streptophyta; Magnoliopsida; Malpighiales; Euphorbiaceae. The record is from RNAcentral.
GAAAAAAAAAAAAACAAAGAUGAAUAUGCUAAAAAGGGUUGGGAAAGUUCAACCGUAAAUAGAAAAAUACAUCGUAAACCUGCAGGAAAAAUAUGAAAUCGCGAAACCGUUGCAACAAAAAUGCACCUUCCCUUCUUAAUUUGCUUUUGCCUUUGGACCCUUCUUCUUUGAAGAUGAGGAGGAUGAUCUCCUGGGCAUUGAGUUCUUCAUGCCAAUGAAAAACAAUAGUGCACCUAGCAACGCCAAGUUCUGAGAAAAUUUGAAAAAGAGUUGAACGAAUUCCUUCUUGUCAACAUCAUAGUUGUAGAAGUCGUACAAAACUGGGGAAGCAACGGCCUGAUGUAUCAGCAGAAGAAGAGCUCCAAGAGUGCUGCCGAAGACGAAUAAAAGGCUUCCAAGACCCUUCAAAACUAUGGCCCCCAAAAUAAGAUGUUUCAUCUCUACAUGGGGU